Molecule: transfer RNA, 58 nt
Filed under: Urocitellus parryii (Arctic ground squirrel)
Lineage: Eukaryota; Metazoa; Chordata; Mammalia; Rodentia; Sciuridae
Also listed under: 3 other names
Description: Spermophilus parryii (Arctic ground squirrel) tRNA
Rfam family: tRNA
About the family: Transfer RNA (tRNA) molecules are approximately 80 nucleotides in length.
Source: Rfam by way of RNAcentral
UAGCUCAGUUGGUAGAGUGCCUGCCUUGCAUGCACAAGGCCCUGGGUUCAAUCCCCAG